ACACUGAUGGUGAAACGGUAUCAUGCUUGCCUUCCAUGGGCAGAGAAACCGAGCAAGCGGCGUGGGUUUCACUCCCGCUCAGUGUA
This is a non-coding RNA of Lentinus tigrinus ALCF2SS1-7, 86 nucleotides long. NCBI's taxonomy places the organism in Eukaryota, Fungi, Basidiomycota, Agaricomycetes, Polyporales, Polyporaceae. The record is from the annotation of a GenBank genome assembly.